This 246-nucleotide long non-coding RNA is filed under the name Mytilus galloprovincialis (Mediterranean mussel). Lineage: Eukaryota; Metazoa; Mollusca; Bivalvia; Mytilida; Mytilidae. The record is from RNAcentral.
AUGAGAUCUCAACCCUCCCCCUAUAUCUCUAGCCAAUGUAGAAAAGUAAACGCAUAACAAUACGCACAUUAAAAUUCAGUUCAAGAGAAGUCCGAGUUUGAUGUCAGAAGAUGUAACCAAAGAAAAUAAACAAAAUGACAAUGAUACAUAAAUAACAACAGACUACUAGCAGUUAACUGACAUGCCAGCUCCAGUCUUCAAUUAAACUGAUUGAAAGAUAAUGUCUUCAUCAUAUGAAUAUCAGGC